RNAcentral lists this ribosomal RNA (416 nucleotides) under uncultured bacterium. RNAcentral describes it as "partial 16S ribosomal RNA". It matches the Rfam family "Bacterial small subunit ribosomal RNA", at positions 361 to 774 of the family's 1533-position model. The record is from RNAcentral.
AUAUUGGGCCAUGGGUGAGAGCCUGAUCCAGCCAUCGCGCGUGCAGGAAGAAUGCCUUNCGGGUUNUNAACUGCUUUUAUACAGGNCUAAACCACUUUACGUGUAAGGUGUUGAAGGUACUGUAUGAAUAAUCUUCGGCCAACUCUGUUCCAGCAGCCGCGGUAAUACGGAGGAUGCACGCGUUAUCAGGAUUUAUUGGGUUUAAUGGGUCCGUAGGCGGGCAGAUAAGUCGGAGGUGAUAUCCAACAUCUUAACUGUCUAACUGCCGUUGAAACUGGAUGACUUGAGUGAGAUUGAAGCAGCUGGAAUGUGUAGUGUAGCGGUGAAGUGCAUAGAUAUUACACAGAACACCGAUAGCGUAGGCAGGUUGCUAAGUCUUUACUGACGCUGAUGGACGAAAGCGUGGGGAGCAAACA